CUUAGUGGCGGACGGGUGAGUAACGCGUGGGCAACCUGACCCCGUGCCGGGGGAUACCGCCUGGAAACAGGCGCUAAUACCGCAUAAGCGCAUACAGCCGCAUGGGUGUAUGCGGAAAGCUCCGGCGGCACGGGAUGGGCCCGCGCCCGAUUAGCCAGUUGGCGGGGUAACGGCCCACCAAAGCGACGAUCGGUAGCCGGCCUGAGAGGGCGGACGGCCACAUUGGGACUGAGACACGGCCCAAACUCCUACGGGAGGCAGCAG
This 264-nucleotide ribosomal RNA is filed under the name uncultured bacterium. RNAcentral's name for it is "partial 16S ribosomal RNA". It matches the Rfam family "Bacterial small subunit ribosomal RNA", at positions 91 to 354 of the family's 1533-position model. The record is from RNAcentral.